AUGUGCUGUGGUCAAAUGAAUAAAUACUUCAUUUUAAAAAAGAAUGCAAGUUCCAGUCCAGGACAGCACUUGCUUAUUCAUUUCCUGAAGGUGGAAAACUGCUCGUGCUCAGUUCAGACACUGGAGGAAACUGCCGGACUCACACUCUCGCUUCCCGGCACUUCCCAAUGGGCACCUGUGUGCAGAGAGGGGGUCAAGCUGCAGAUAAGCCCACGCAAAACAUUCACUCCCAGUUCACACCAUCUGCACUCAGGGGGGCUUUGGCCAGCCCACCAAGGUGGAGAUGCUGCUGAGUCAUCCAGUCCCCGUGCUGAAAUCUGGGAGACACUUGAGGCAUUCAUUGCCUGGGGGCACCUGGGGGCUUCCCCGGUGGCUCAGUUGGUAAAGAAUCUGCCUGCGAUUCAGGAGACUGGGAUUCCAUCCCUGGGUCAGGAAGAUGCCCUGGAGAAGGGAAUGACAACACACUCCAGUAUUCUUCCCUGGGAAAUCCCAUGGGCAGGGGAAUCUGGCAGGCUACAGUUCAUAGGGUCAAAAGAGUUGGACAUGACUUCGCGACUAAACCACACGGAGGUGCCUGGGGGCCCCAACACUUCUGAACAAAAGGACAGGACACCAAGAUGCCAGACUUUUCCUUAAUGGAAACUGCCUGUUUUCUAAAGAAGGCCCAGUCCACUGACUCUACUUAGACAUUUCUCUGGAAUAAACACUUCCAUAGGGCACACCAAGCUCUCCAUUAGGGCUAGUAGCUUUAUGAAAAAAACGUGAGUGGGGCUCUAAAUUAUUCUGACCUCUUCUCUUCCCUCCUUCCUUCUUUUUUUUGUAAAAAGGAGAACACAUUUCCAAGAGGUCUGAAUUUCUGAACAGAGACUACAGUGGGGUCAAAAUUUGCAAAUCUACCUGCAAACAAAGAGGGUUAGGGGUUCACAGAUUAGCAUUCCCAGACACCCCUUAAUGACUUUUCCCCAGGUGAUUACUGCUGCCCCAAACCUAAAGAAGCCCUCUUCUAGGUCCUCUCCUAAAAUAGCCAGGGGGAGUUUGAUGUCUGAUUCAGAGAACCCACAGCUGGUGCUCCAU
This 1074-nucleotide long non-coding RNA is filed under the name Capra hircus (goat). Its description in RNAcentral is "lncRNA (ENSCHIG00010018439.1)". Lineage: Eukaryota; Metazoa; Chordata; Mammalia; Artiodactyla; Bovidae. The record is from RNAcentral.